Molecule: unclassified non-coding RNA, 487 nt
Filed under: Hevea brasiliensis (rubber tree)
Lineage: Eukaryota; Viridiplantae; Streptophyta; Magnoliopsida; Malpighiales; Euphorbiaceae
Source: RNAcentral
CCGGAACCCGACUCUGGUGCUGAACAAAUUUGUGGCAGCCAUUUCUCUGUUCUCUUUGUAGAGGAUUUUGUGAUUCUGGUUGUUCUUCAUCUUGCGAUUUGCGACCCUCGUCAUCAGGUUCUUGAAGUUGACCAGUGAUGGGAAAUAGGCCAGCAAAGCCGGAGAGAGAUGAGGUGCUUUUGAAGAUUGUGCCUCCUCUAGAUCAAGCAUACGUUAGAUGGCUUGCUCGUGAUCUCGAGAGAAUUCAUGGCUUCACUCCAAGAAACCCUCGUGCUGUAAGGCCACCCGAUCAUUACAUAGAAUACAUGCGUUUACAGGGAUGGUUGGAUGUCAGCUUAGAUGACCCCGACCUUGCUCAUCUACUUAAAUAGUGAAGUAUAUCAACUGCAAUACUCUUAAGAACAUGUAUAAACUUCAAAUUGAUGUUUAGUUUUCUGUACUGGUACAUUGAGAUUCAGAUCCUGUGUAUGAUUUUAUGAAAUGGAAA